CCAAGUCCAACAGAACUUGCUCCGGUGGCACGCCAAUUCCUCAUACAAGUAUAUUUAUACGCGAGCCAAUAGAUAUGACAAGUUCAAGUCAGUCGUCUUUGGAUGAUGAAGUGACAAAAGAAUCAUCUACGAUUUUUCCUACUAAUGGCAUGCUCAUAUCAACUGAGGGCUUGGAGCGAGGAGAAAGCUCAAAAGGACGAAAGCGUGUACGUGAAGCAAUAAGAUAUGCUAGCCGUACACCAGAACAAAUCCAAGCAAGGCGAGAACGUGUUAGAGCACGUCGGCAAAAUUUAACACCUGCUGAGAGGGAAAAGAUUAAUGCACAAAGAAGAGAGAAAAGACAACGAAUGGCACUUGAUGAGAGGAAUGCAAGCCAACGAGCACGUAGGCAAAGUUUGACAAUAGAUGAGAGGCAAGAAAUAAAUGCACGCCGGCGAGCACGUAGGCAAAGCCUACCACCUGAAGAGCGGCAAGCACUCCUAGCUCAACGUAAUGCAAGCUACACAUCUAAACGAGAUGCCCUCUACAGGGAUUCUGUUGCACUACAGUGCCCUGCAGGUUCAUUGAUGGGACAUCCAUCAUCAAGUUCUUAUGUCUUUAGCCACCCAGGAGAUGAUGAUACUAUCCAGCACAUGGAACUCACAUCGGUGCAAUGUCCAACAUCUACAUCAGUGGACAAUCCAUUAUCACCCCAUGAUGGUCUCGUAUAUUCAGAUUCCCCAAUAGAAAGCUUUGUCGCCGAUGAUGAUGAUUCUCACAUGUCUGAAGAACAAGAUGAUGAGUACUUCGCAUUUGCUGGGAGAGGUGACGAUGAAUACUUGGUAGAUGCCUUUACAACAGACACCAUUGUCCCUGACCUAUAUGAUCGUGUCUACCACAAUAUACCAGUGAGCAGAUGGAUGAUGUGA
This 908-nucleotide ribosomal RNA is filed under the name Triticum aestivum (bread wheat). RNAcentral's name for it is "partial small subunit ribosomal RNA". Lineage: Eukaryota; Viridiplantae; Streptophyta; Magnoliopsida; Poales; Poaceae. The record is from RNAcentral.